Physella acuta is the source of this 2347-nucleotide RNA transcript. RefSeq lists it as uncharacterized. Lineage: Eukaryota; Metazoa; Mollusca; Gastropoda; Physidae. The record is from RefSeq and is a predicted model, not a curated record.
AUUUCCGGUUUGAAUUUUUUAACGCCGCCCUACAUUACAAGCAGGUAAACAGUAAUUUGUUUAAUUACUCAACUAGAUCCGCUGCUUAACUUUGACUGCAUUAGUUAGCCUAGGACGGCAAUUAGUCUAAUCAAAGUUGAAACAGCCCCGACGUCCGCUGUUGUCUCAGGGUACUGCUGGUGAGACGAAGAACGGUCUGUAGUGUGUGGCUGUUGACACUGGAAAAAAUGACUGCCUGUCCUGAAGAUUUAAAAAAAACACAUCGACAUGGAUUUUGAUAACAACGAUAGCAACAUCAAAGAUGAGCUUGAGCUAUUAAUUUUGACAGUCCUCCCUCUGACAAUUAUAAUUUUUUUGGCCAAAGCUAUUUCUGACCUGGUCAACUACAAUCUUCUCUAUUUGUUGAGCGGAGUGUUUACUAUCAACCCCAUUUUCUUCUACUGGAAAAUUGCUAUUGUAGUGUUUUUGGUUCUGCUUCAAGUACACGAACGGUUCAGGGAAAACAUCUGCAAGUAUCUGGAUGACAUUAAUGACAUUUUGUGAGGAGCAGUUGAAAACAGCCCCGACGUCCGCUGUUGUCUCAGGGUACUGCUGGUGAGACGAAGAACGGUCUGUAGUGUGUGGCUGUUGACACUUGCUGAGCGCCUCCCCCCAAAGUUCACAAACGGCAAUAUGGAUUCGGACAGUAAUGAACCCAGCAUCUUUUUGAAGGCGACCGUUCAAUUUUUUCUCGGCUGUGCCCUCUACGGGCUCACCAUAACUAUAACAGAUUAUACAACUCCACCCCUUAAAGAAGCUCUGAAGUACUUUAUAAAGUCAGAUAUGAUAUACUGGACCAACUUUACAAUAACGUGCAUCCUUCUAAUUGCUUUACUUCUGUGGAUCUUUCAGAUUGUAGAGAGGCUUCUGCAGGAUGGUUUCCAAGAAAGAACUUUGGAGCCGCAAGGUUUUACAGCGCAAGGCAAUCCAAGUCAAAGGCAAGGCUGACGUUUUCUUGGAUGGGUAUUGUUAAAUCAAUCUGGAACACCUCUGCCCUUUAGUAAUGUGGAUCUUGUCUAGGGGAGAUUGUGUCCGUCUUCUGGAAGAUCUUAUCCAUUUCCAGGGAAGAUCUUUUGGGGAGCUCUUAUGUUCUUUUUGGGUAGCUUUUGUCCGCUUUCUGGGGAGAGAUCUAGUCCAUCUUUUGGGGAGAUCUUAUGUUCUUUUUGGGUAGCUUUUGUUUGCUUUCUGGGGAGAGAUCUAGUCCAUCUUUUGGGGAGAUCUUAUGUUCUUUUUGGGUAGCUUUUGUUUGCUUUCUUGGGAGAGAUCUUGUCCUUCUUCUGGGGAAAUCUUUUGUUCUUUUUGGGUAGCUUUUGUCUGCUUUCUGGGGAGAGAUCUAGUCCAACUUUUGGGGAGAUCUUAUGUUCUUUUUGGGUAGCUUUUGUCCGCUUUCUGGGGAGAGAUCUAGUCCAUCUUUUGGGGAGAUCUUAUGUUCUUUUUGGGUAGCUUUUGUUUGCUUUCUGGGGAGAGAUCUAGUCCAUCUUUUGGGGAGAUCUUAUGUUCUUUUUGGGUAGCUUUUGUUUGCUUUCUUGGGAGAGAUCUUGUCCUUCUUUUGGGGAGAUCUUAUGUUCUUUUUGGGUAGCUUUUGUUUGCUUUCUGGGGAGAGAUCUAGUCCAUCUUUUGGGGAGAUCUUAUGUUCUUUUUGGGUAGCUUUUGUUUGCUUUCUUGGGAGAGAUCUUGUCCUUCUUCUGGGGAAAUCUUUUGUUCUUUUUGGGUAGCUUUUGUUGAAGUAGAAGAUAAAUUUUGUAGCAAACAUACAAAGUCCAUACUACUUUAGCUUUACCAACAUCUAUCAUUGUAAAUUUUAGCGGUCUGAAAGUAUUUUCUAGUCUUAAAAUGUCUGGAGUUAUUUGUAUCAAAUUACAUUGUUUAUAUUUCCAAUUAUAAAAAAAAACUGUUUUAAAAACUCAUGGUAAAUCAUGCCCAUUGUUACAGAUUUUUUAAUGUGGUUUUCCUCACUAUAAAGUUUUUAAAAUAAAUGACUCCUCAUGCCUUGUAUACAAAGGUGGCACCAUGGGAAUCAUAUCACCGUCCUCAAACUCAAAGCACGCUAUCCGGUCUAUUACCUAUCUAUGAUCAUUUAAAAUUUUCCCUCCCAAAUCAAAAUUAUGCUCAAUGGUAAAGAUAAUUUUAAGAUAACAUCACAGUGUAACAUUUUAAAAUCUCGAAACGGUAUAACAUCGAUGUUGACAUAAUAGAUUCCUGCUCUGAUAAAUUUCUAUAAAUUACAUCUCAAAUUUUUUUGUAUAAUUAUAAAAAAAAAAAUGAAUGGAUGAAACUUGUUUCUUGAUAUAUAUAUAUUAAAGCUCUA